RNAcentral lists this ribosomal RNA (426 nucleotides) under Bradyrhizobium genosp. TUXTLAS-7. RNAcentral's name for it is "bacterial SSU rRNA". It matches the Rfam family "Bacterial small subunit ribosomal RNA", at positions 16 to 486 of the family's 1533-position model. The record is from RNAcentral. Lineage: Bacteria; Pseudomonadati; Pseudomonadota; Alphaproteobacteria; Hyphomicrobiales; Nitrobacteraceae.
AUCCUGGCUCAGAGCGAACGCUGGCGGCAGGCUUAACACAUGCAAGUCGAGAGGGCGUAGCAAUACGUCAGCGGCAGACGGGUGAGUAACGCGUGGGAACGUACCUUUUGGUUCGGAACAACACAGGGAAACUUGUGCUAAUACCGGAUAAGCCCUUACGGGGAAAGAUUUAUCGCCGAAAGAUCGGCCCGCGUCUGAUUAGCUAGUUGGUGAGGUAAUGGCUCACCAAGGCGACGAUCAGUAGCUGGUCUGAGAGGAUGAUCAGCCACAUUGGGACUGAGACACGGCCCAAACUCCUACGGGAGGCAGCAGUGGGGAAUAUUGGACAAUGGGGGCAACCCUGAUCCAGCCAUGCCGCGUGAGUGAUGAAGGCCCUAGGGUUGUAAAGCUCUUUUGUGCGGGAAGAUAAUGACGGUACCGCAAGAA